ACUUCGCUCAGUAACACGUGGACAACCUUACCCUCAGCACGGGGAUAAACCCGGGAAACUCGGGUAUAAUACCCGAUAGUUCUGGUUAGCUCGGAAUGCUAUCAGGACGAAAGCUCCGGCGGCCGAGGAUGGGUCUGCGGCCUAUCAGGUAGUAGUGGGUGUAACGUACCUACUAGCCUACGACGGGUACGGGUUGUGAGAGCAAGAGCCCGGAGAUGGAUUCUGAGACACGAAUCCAGGCCCUACGGGGUGCAGCAGGCGCGAAAACUUUACAAUGCUGGCAACAGCGAUAAGGGGACCUCGAGUGCCAGGAUACAAUCUUGGCUGUCGUGAUGCCUAAAAAGCAUUGCAUAGCAAGGGCCGGGCAAGACCGGUGCCAGCCGCCGCGGUAACACCGGCGGCUCGAGUGGUAACCGCUAUUAUUGGGUCUAAAGGGUCUGUAGCCGGCCGGAUAAGUCUUUUGGGAAAUCCAGCUGCUCAACAGUUGGGCUUUCAGAAGAUACUGUUCGGCUCGAGGCCGGGAGAGGUGAGAGGUACUUCAGGGGUAGGGGUGAAAUCUUGUAAUCCUUGAAGGACCACCAGUGGCGAAGGCGUCUCACCAGAACGGACCUGACGGCAAGGGACGAAAGCUAGGGGCACGAACCGGAUUAGAUACCCGGGUAGUCCUAGCCGUAAACGAUACUCGCUAGGUGUCAGCCACGGUGCGACCGUGGUUGGUGCCGUAGGGAAGCCGUGAAGCGAGCCACCUGGGAAGUACGGCCGCAAGGCUGAAACUUAAAGGAAUUGGCGGGGGAGCA
This 797-nucleotide ribosomal RNA is filed under the name uncultured archaeon. Its description in RNAcentral is "bacterial SSU rRNA". It matches the Rfam family "Archaeal small subunit ribosomal RNA", at positions 83 to 878 of the family's 1478-position model. The record is from RNAcentral.